This 252-nucleotide ribosomal RNA is filed under the name Intestinibacter bartlettii DSM 16795. RNAcentral's name for it is "partial 16S ribosomal RNA". It matches the Rfam family "Bacterial small subunit ribosomal RNA", at positions 524 to 776 of the family's 1533-position model. The record is from RNAcentral. Lineage: Bacteria; Bacillati; Bacillota; Clostridia; Peptostreptococcales; Peptostreptococcaceae.
UACGUAGGGGGCUAGCGUUAUCCGGAUUUACUGGGCGUAAAGGGUGCGUAGGCGGUCUUUUAAGUCAGGAGUGAAAGGCUACGGCUCAACCGUAGUAAGCUCUUGAAACUGGAAGACUUGAGUGCAGGAGAGGAGAGUGGAAUUCCUAGUGUAGCGGUGAAAUGCGUAGAUAUUAGGAGGAACACCAGUAGCGAAGGCGGCUCUCUGGACUGUAACUGACGCUGAGGCACGAAAGCGUGGGGAGCAAACAGG